This 69-nucleotide transfer RNA is filed under the name Marmota marmota marmota (Alpine marmot). It matches the Rfam family "tRNA". From Rfam's summary of the family: Transfer RNA (tRNA) molecules are approximately 80 nucleotides in length. Their secondary structure includes four short double-helical elements and three loops (D, anti-codon, and T loops). Lineage: Eukaryota; Metazoa; Chordata; Mammalia; Rodentia; Sciuridae. The record is from Rfam by way of RNAcentral. RNAcentral also lists the same sequence under 1 other name.
GGGGCUGUAGUUCAGUGGCAGAACACUUGCCUAGUAUGCAUGAGGCACAGGGUUCGAUUCUCGGCACCA